Molecule: long non-coding RNA, 1342 nt
Filed under: Erythranthe guttata (spotted monkey flower)
Lineage: Eukaryota; Viridiplantae; Streptophyta; Magnoliopsida; Lamiales; Phrymaceae
Description: long non-coding RNA (EGUT_LNC001107)
Source: RNAcentral
GUAAUCCCACUAUGAAAUUAAAUAUAAUUAACUACAAAACUUCCGCAAUCAACAUCAUUUAAUUUAAAUAAGCAAAUCAUCGGUACUAAAAGAAAAACAAUGUGUUUUGCCAGAAGAAAAACAAGUAGUUUUAACAAUUCGAACAAAACUACUACUACCAACAAACGCCGUCACCACAACAAAUAGUAGAGUUGCCCGAGCAUCACCCAACCUAAUCACCCUUAUGCCAUCGCCGCUUGUUCAAAAACCUAAUAAAAAGAAAAAAGGAGACGACAACAUGUCAAUUUAAUUCAUACGAAAAAAAUUCAUUCUGAAAGCAAAAACUACUACAAAAUUAACCUAAUCAACUACCAAAAAAAUUCCUCUUUUCGAAGACAAAAUCCACUCAAAUUAUAUCGAAAUCCACUACAAACUUACCGAGAUCAAAUAGAAAUUCACGAAAUCCACUAAUAUUAACAAAAUCCACUACUAUUAUACUCAUCAAAAACCACUAUAAAAUAUAGAAAACCACCAAAAUAUUAACACAAUUCACUACAAAAUUAACCUAAUCCGGUACAAAAAAAAUCUUCUUUUCAAAGACAAAAUCCACUCAAAUUAUAUCGAAAUCCACUAAGAACUUACCGAAAUCUACUAAAAGUAACGAAAUCCACUAAUAUUAACGAAAUCCACUACUAUUAAGCUCAUCAAAAACCACUAUAAAAUAUAGAGAACCACUAAAAUAUUAACGUAAUCUACUACGAAAUUAACAUAACCCACUAAAAAAAUCCCUUUUUAAAGACAAUCCACUCUAAUUAUAACGAAAACCACUAAAAACUUACCGAAAUCAACUAGAAAUUAACGAAAUCCACUAAUGUUAAGAAAAUCAUUAAAUUUGUUUUAUAUUGCUGUCCUAAAAUUCUAAUAGAAUGCCCAGCUGCUAACUAAUUUAAAAAACAAAUUAACGUUUUUUUUCUUCUUUAUCCGAAAUUAGAAAUUACUCACAAUGAGAUGGUGCACACACACAAUAACACACAUAAAAAGUGAAUUUUAUGGAAUAUAUUCUUGAAUAAAUUUCAUACAUAUCCUAGGAAAUUCACAUCUUAUGACCCAAUAAUCACAUACAAGAAACAAUCUGCUAAUUUAUAAGAAUUAAAAGUCUUUUUCACAAUAUCGUUAUCAAAUAGGAAUCUUACCCACAAACCCUAAAAUCAUUGACGAUGAUUGACACGAGAAAAAAAAUUACCUUUUUCUACCAACGCAUAGAUAACGUUCGGCAACGGUGAAGAGAGAGGAAAUAGGGGUGGGGGCUAGGGCGGCACCGGGUGGGGCUGGGGCGGAACAGGUGGGGUUGGGCGGCGCCGGG